RNAcentral lists this ribosomal RNA (371 nucleotides) under uncultured bacterium. Its description in RNAcentral is "bacterial SSU rRNA". It matches the Rfam family "Bacterial small subunit ribosomal RNA", at positions 143 to 509 of the family's 1533-position model. The record is from RNAcentral.
ACAGCCGGUGGAAACGCCCGGGGUAAUACCCCAUGCCGACGCGGAGGGACAUCCCUUUGCGUCGAAAGACGCGAGUCGGUGCGGACGGGCAUGCGUCCCAUUAGCUAGUUGGCGGGGCAACGGGCCCACCAAGGCCCACGAUGGGUAGGGGAUCUGAGAGGACGGUCCCCACACUGGUACUGAGACACGGACCAGACUCCUACGGGAGGCAGCAGUAAGGAAUAUUGGGCAAUGGGGGAACCCUGACCCAGCCAUGCCGCGUGAGGGAAGUAGGCCCUACGGGUCGUGAACCUCUUUUGUCGGGGACAAGGACGCGGUCGUGAACCGUGUUUGCGGGUACUCGGCGAAUAAGCAUCGGCUAACUCCGUGCC